RNAcentral lists this unclassified non-coding RNA (313 nucleotides) under Hevea brasiliensis (rubber tree). Lineage: Eukaryota; Viridiplantae; Streptophyta; Magnoliopsida; Malpighiales; Euphorbiaceae. The record is from RNAcentral.
AAAAAAAGGGGCACUGGUUCAUUUCCUUUUUCUUUCUUUGACUCCCCUAGAGCUGCCUGAGAGAGAUGUAUGAUACUUUCAGCAUCAGGUGUUACCUUGACAGGCUCCCCAGCCUUGACUUCAACACCCCAGAAUUCCAUGGAGGAUGACAGAACGUAAGAGGUAGAAAGCUAGGGAUUCUAAGAAUGCAGUGGAUAGAGAAAUUUGAGAGUAAAAGAGGCGGAAUAAGAGAGGUUUUUGAAGGGCAUUGAUUUAUAAGGGUUUUUGUGGGCGGAGCUAGGCAGCUAGGGUUUUUGAGUGAACACUACGCGUG